GACGAACGCUGGCGGCGUGCCUAACACAUGCAAGUCGAACGGAACUGUUUUGAAAGAUUUCUUCGGAAUGAAUUUGAUUUAGUUUAGUGGCGGACGGGUGAGUAACGCGUGAGUAACCUGCCUUCAAGAGGGGAAUAACAUUCUGAAAAGAAUGCUACUACCGCAUGACAUAUCGGAACCACAUGGUUUUGAUAUCAAAGAUUUUAUCGCUUGAAGAUGGACUCGCGUCCGAUUAGUUAGUUGGUGAGGUAACGGCUCACCAAGACCGCGAUCGGUAGCCGGACUGAGAGGUUGAACGGCCACAGUGGGACUGAGACACGGCCCAGACUCCUACGGGAGGCAGCAGUGGGGGAUAUUGCGCAAUGGGGGCAACCCUGACGCAGCAACGCCGCGUGAAGGAUGAAGGUUUUCGGAUUGUAAACUUCUUUUAUUAAGGACGAAAAAUGACGGUACUUAAUGAAUAAGCUCCGGCUAACUACGUG
This 482-nucleotide ribosomal RNA is filed under the name uncultured bacterium. RNAcentral describes it as "partial 16S ribosomal RNA". It matches the Rfam family "Bacterial small subunit ribosomal RNA", at positions 28 to 507 of the family's 1533-position model. The record is from RNAcentral.